CAUCUGUAAUGAUUAAUAUCCAGUCAUUAGUUUGUUUGGACUUGAUGCUUGUUUGAGCUCAGUUUGGUGUUAAAGGCUUGAAAACUACAUUUUGACUCUGUGCUCCUCCGCAGUGUCUGAGCUGAGAUCAAUUAGAAAUCAUUACACCAACAUUUAAGCUUUUAAAGUCAAAAUUAUACUUUCAGAUUUUAACAUUGCUUUUCUCUUUGAGGUCAGUCAAGUUUUAUUUGUAAUUGUUGAGCUUUAGUGUUUAGUUUUCACUGUGUGAGUUUUAGUGGUAAAAAGUUUCAUUACUCUGCCGUAUUAGUUAGUUAAUCACUGUUUCAGGUGUUGUACUUGUGUUUUCCAGGUCGACUUGCUCAGCUGCUGCAGCUUGGACAGAAACACCAACAUCACCUUACAGACCAACAGGAGGUGACGACAGUCAGCUGUUGAUUUUCUGAAACAGCCUCUAAUGGUUGUUAAAUGUUCACGAGAGUCUUCGUACAAUUAAGAAGUUCUUUGAGACCAGGACAGAGGCCACCAGGUGUCACCACUUCGUCCACGACAUCACCAAGAAUCGCAGAGACAUGGUCCAUGAUCGGAGAGACAUUGUUGAGGAUGAGGGAGACACCGUCCACGAUCAGAAACAUUGUCUGUGGUCGCAGAGACCUUGUCAAAGACGGGAGAGACGUUGUCCGUGAUCAGAGACAUUGUCCCAUGCUUCGCAGAGCUCUGCGCAAGAAUCGGUAGUGACACUGUGGUUCCUCGAUUCGACGGCAUGACCGCGAUCAUGGAGAUAUUUGUCGAUGGUCACAGAGACAACGUCUAUGAUCUCAGAGACAUCGUCCACGAUCAUAAAGACAUUGUCCAUGGUCACAGAGACUUUGUCCAUAAUCUCAGAGACAUGUCCGCGAUCACAGAGACGUAGUCCACGAUCACAGAGAGUCUUCAUACUAUGAAGAAGUUCUUUGAGACCAGGACAGAGGCCUCCAGGUGUCACCACUUCGUCCACAACAUUGCCAAGAAUCGCAAAGACACGGCCCAUGAUCGGAGAGACAUUGUUGAGGAUGAGGGAGACAUCGUCCGUGAUCAGAGACAUUGUCCAUGACUCGUGGUGACUUGGUCCCCGAUAAGUCGGCAUUGCUGGCGUUCAGAGACAUUGUCAAUGAUCGCAGAAACUUUGUCCAUAAUCUCAGAGACAUUGUCCGCGAUCCCCGGGGCAUCGUCCACGAUCGCAGAGACAUGGUCCAUGAUCGGAGAGACAUUGUUGAGGAUGAGGGAGACAUCGUCCACGAUCAGAAACGUUGUCUGUGGUCGCAGAGACCUUGUCAAAGACGGGAGAGGCGUUGUCCGUGAUCAGAGACAUUGUCCCAUGCUUCGCAGAGCUCUGCGCAAGAAUCGGUAGUGACACUGUGGUUCCUCGAUUCGACGGCAUGACCGCGAUCAUGGAGAUAUUUGUCGAUGGUUACAGAGACAACGUCUAUGAUCUCAGAGACAUCGUCCACGAUCAUAAAGACAUUGUCCAUGGUCGCAGAGACUUUGUCCAUAAUCUCAGAGACAUGUCCGCGAUCACAGAGACGUAGUCCACGAUCACAGAGAGUCUUCAUACUAUGAAGAAGUUCUUUGAGACCAGGACAGAGGCCUCCAGGUGUCACCACUUCGUCCACGACAUCGCCAAGAAUCGCAAAGACACGGCCCAUGAUCGGAGAGACAUUGUUGAGGAUGAGGGAGACAUCGUCCGUGAUCAGAGACAUUGUCCAUGACUCGUGGUGACUUGGUCCCCGAUAAGUCGGCAUUGCUGGCGUUCAGAGACAUGUCAAUGAUCGCAGAAACUUUGUCCAUAAUCUCAGAGACAUUGUCCGCGAUCCCCGGGGCAUCGUCCACGAUCGCAGAGACAUGGUCCAUGAUCGGAGAGACAUUGUUGAGGAUGAGGGAGACAUCGUCCACGAUCAGAAACGUUGUCUGUGGUCGCAGAGACCUUGUCAAAGACGGGAGAGGCGUUGUCCGUGAUCAGAGACAUUGUCCCAUGCUUCGCAGAGCUCUGCGCAAGAAUCGGUAGUGACACUGUGGUUCCUCGAUUCGACGGCAUGACCGCGAUCAUGGAGAUAUUUGUCGAUGGUUACAGAGACAACGUCUAUGAUCUCAGAGACAUCGUCCACGAUCAUAAAGACAUUGUCCAUGGUCGCAGAGACUUUGUCCAUAAUCUCAGAGACAUGUCCGCGAUCACAGAGACGUAGUCCACGAUCACAGAGAGUCUUCGUACUAUGAAGAAGUUCUUUGAGACCAGGACAGAGGCCUCCAGGUGUCACCACUUCGUCCACAACAUUGCCAAGAAUCGCAAAGACACGGCCCAUGAUCGGAGAGACAUUGUUGAGGAUGAGGGAGACAUCGUCCGUGAUCAGAGACAUUGUCCAUGACUCGUGGUGACUUGGUCCCCGAUAAGUCGGCAUUGCUGGCGUUCAGAGACAUGUCAAUGAUCGCAGAAACUUUGUCCAUAAUCUCAGAGACAUUGUCCGCGAUCCCCGGGGCAUCGUCCACGAUCGCAGAGACAUGGUCCAUGAUCGGAGAGACAUUGUUGAGGAUGAGGGAGACAUCGUCCACGAUCAGAAACGUUGUCUGUGGUCGCAGAGACCUUGUCAAAGACGGGAGAGGCGUUGUCCGUGAUCAGAGACAUUGUCCCAUGCUUCGCAGAGCUCUGCGCAAGAAUCGGUAGUGACACUGUGGUUCCUCGAUUCGACGGCAUGACCGCGAUCAUGGAGAUAUUUGUCGAUGGUUACAGAGACAACGUCUAUGAUCUCAGAGACAUCGUCCACGAUCAUAAAGACAUUGUCCAUGGUCGCAGAGACUUUGUCCAUAAUCUCAGAGACAUGUCCGCGAUCACAGAGACGUAGUCCACGAUCACAGAGAGUCUUCGUACUAUGAAGAAGUUCUUUGAGACCAGGACAGAGGCCUCCAGGUGUCACCACUUCGUCCACAACAUUGCCAAGAAUCGCAAAGACACGGCCCAUGAUCGGAGAGACAUUGUUGAGGAUGAGGGAGACAUCGUCCGUGAUCAGAGACAUUGUCCAUGACUCGUGGUGACUUGGUCCCCGAUAAGUCGGCAUUGCUGGCGUUCAGAGACAUGUCAAUGAUCGCAGAAACUUUGUCCAUAAUCUCAGAGACAUUGUCCGCGAUCCCCGGGGCAUCGUCCACGAUCGCAGAGACAUGGUCCAUGAUCGGAGAGACAUUGUUGAGGAUGAGGGAGACAUCGUCCACGAUCAGAAACGUUGUCUGUGGUCGCAGAGACCUUGUCAAAGACGGGAGAGGCGUUGUCCGUGAUCAGAGACAUUGUCCCAUGCUUCGCAGAGCUCUGCGCAAGAAUCGGUAGUGACACUGUGGUUCCUCGAUUCGACGGCAUGACCGCGAUCAUGGAGAUAUUUGUCAAUGGUUACAGAGACAACGUCUAUGAUCUCAGAGACAUCGUCCACGAUCAUAAAGACAUUGUCCAUGAUCGCAGAGACUUUGUCCAUAAUCUCAGAGACAUGUCCGCGAUCACAGAGACGUAGUCCACGAUCACAGAGAGUCUUCGUACUAUGAAGAAGUUCUUUGAGACCAGGACAGAGGCCUCCAGGUAAUUCACCA
Lates calcarifer (barramundi perch) is the source of this 3603-nucleotide long non-coding RNA. RefSeq lists it as uncharacterized. The transcript is spliced from 7 exons. The record is from RefSeq and is a predicted model, not a curated record. NCBI's taxonomy places the organism in Eukaryota, Metazoa, Chordata, Actinopteri, Centropomidae.